RNAcentral lists this long non-coding RNA (381 nucleotides) under Sorghum bicolor (sorghum). Its description in RNAcentral is "long non-coding RNA (SBIC_LNC007040)". Lineage: Eukaryota; Viridiplantae; Streptophyta; Magnoliopsida; Poales; Poaceae. The record is from RNAcentral.
UUUAUAAUUUGGAAUAAAGGGAGGCAUAAAUUACACAAUACAACUUAUGUACAUAAGUUACACAACUGAUACACUAGUGUAUAUAGAAAGUUAUGCAGUUAUUAUACACAAACAAAAGUUAUACAAUACAAGUUAGCAGAAUAGGUUACCAGCAUAACUUAGCAGAAUAAGUUAGCAAUAUAACUUAUAUGUUAUAAGUUAAUAUACAUAAAUUGCUACUAGAGAAAUAAAAAUCUUCGAAACAUAUAGAAGUGGGAUCUAGUUUUGUUCGUCUCGUCACGUUGAACACACCGGUAUAGAUGGAAUUAAAAAUAGAUACAUCAUUUAAAAGUUAUAGUAAUUUGAAAUAAAUAUUUUGCUUUUUUUAUGAUAACGUUAAGA